CAGGUUCAAGGUGAGGUGGAUGAUGCAGUCCAGGAGGCCAGAAAUGCAGAGGAGAAGGCCAAGAAGGCCAUCACUGAUGCUGCCAUGAUGGCUGAGGAGCUGAAGAAGGAGCAGGACACCAGUGCUCACCUGGAGAGGAUGAAGAA
Molecule: long non-coding RNA, 146 nt
Organism: Sinocyclocheilus grahami
Lineage: Eukaryota; Metazoa; Chordata; Actinopteri; Cypriniformes; Cyprinidae
Exons: 2
Source: RefSeq, a predicted model, not a curated record